UACAGAGGUCUCAAGCGUUGUUCGGAUUCAUUGGGCGUAAAGGGUGUGUAGGGGGCGCCGUAAGUCGGGGGUGAAAUUUCGGAGCUUAACUGCGGAACUGCAUUGGAAACUAUUUGACUAGAGGAAUGGAGGGGAGACUGGAAUACUUGGUGUAGCAGUGAAAUGCGUAGAUAUCAAGUGGAACACCAGUGGCGAAGGCGAGUCUCUGGACAUUUCCUGACGCUGAGGCACGAAAGCCAGGGGAGCAAACGGG
Molecule: ribosomal RNA, 253 nt
Filed under: uncultured bacterium
Lineage: Bacteria
Description: partial 16S ribosomal RNA
Rfam family: Bacterial small subunit ribosomal RNA
Source: RNAcentral